UGUGGCCUCAAAUCAGGUAGGACUACCCGCUGAACUU
RNAcentral lists this ribosomal RNA (37 nucleotides) under Limacella glischra. Its description in RNAcentral is "partial 28S ribosomal RNA". Lineage: Eukaryota; Fungi; Basidiomycota; Agaricomycetes; Agaricales; Amanitaceae. The record is from RNAcentral.